Mauremys reevesii (Reeves's turtle) is the source of this 434-nucleotide long non-coding RNA. RefSeq lists it as uncharacterized. Lineage: Eukaryota; Metazoa; Chordata; Testudines; Geoemydidae. The record is from RefSeq and is a predicted model, not a curated record. The transcript has 3 exons.
CCUCUCUAUCUCUCAGUGUCUUCUCUCCAGCAACACUGAGCUCCCAGCCAAACUUCAGCCAUGAAGAUUCUCUACCUGCUCUUUGCUCUCUUUUUCCUGGUGCUCCAAAGCUCUCCAGGAUUCACCCAGAUCAUCAAUAGCCCCUUUGAUUGUAGACGUGCUGGGGGAUUCUGCCGCCUUUACUGUUUCGGCAAUUUCAGAUCAAUUGGAAGGUGUGAUGCUCCGCAGAGUUGCUGUCGCACUAGAUGGUAAACAGAGUGAGUGAUGGCAGCAGAGAUUGUCAAUGCAGGAUCUCUGGGAAUCUGAUAGACAACGCCUUGCUUAAGAACCCUUGAAUGCUUUUCAUCUGGGCUGCAAGAAUCUCGCAAGCUGGAAAAAAUCCACAAGGGAGCCCUUGUGUCACCCCUAAUAGCUUGUUCUUCUCUUUUUAAUAA